AGCCCGUUAAUGGGUGAUGGCGUGCCUUUUGUAGAAUGAACCGGCGAGUUACGAUUUGAUGCAAGGUUAAGCAGUAAAUGUGGAGCCGUAGCGAAAGCGAGUCUGAAUAGGGCGUUUAGUAUUUGGUCGUAGACCCGAAACCAGGUGAUCUACCCUUGGUCAGGUUGAAGUUCAGGUAACACUGAAUGGAGGACCGAACCGACUUACGUUGAAAAGUGAGCGGAUGAACUGAGGGUAGCGGAGAAAUUCCAAUCGAACCUGGAGAUAGCUGGUUCUCUCCGAAAUAGCUUUAGGGCUAGCCUCAAGUGAUGAUUAUUGGAGGUAGAGCACUGUUUGGACGAGGGGCCCCUCUCGGGUUACCGAAUUCAGACAAACUCCGAAUGCCAAUUAAUUUAACUUGGGAGUCAGAACAUGGGUGAUAAGGUCCGUGUUCGAAAGGGAAACAGCCCAGACCACCAGCUAAGGUCCCAAAAUAUAUGUUAAGUGGAAAAGGAUGUGGCGUUGCCCAGACAACUAGGAUGUUGGCUUAGAAGCAGCCAUCAUUUAAAGAGUGCGUAAUAGCUCACUAGUCGAGUGACACUGCGCCGAAAAUGUACCGGGGCUAAACAUAUUACCGAAGCUGUGGAUUGUCCUUUGGACAAUGGUAGGAGAGCGUUCUAAGGGCGUUGAAGCAUGAUCGUAAGGACAUGUGGAGCGCUUAGAAGUGAGAAUGCCGGUGUGAGUAGCGAAAGACGGGUGAGAAUCCCGUCCGCCGAUUGACUAAGGUUUCCAGAGGAAGGCUCGUCCGCUCU
RNAcentral lists this ribosomal RNA (791 nucleotides) under Staphylococcus aureus. Its description in RNAcentral is "partial 23S ribosomal RNA". It matches the Rfam family "Bacterial large subunit ribosomal RNA", at positions 578 to 1376 of the family's 2925-position model. The record is from RNAcentral. Lineage: Bacteria; Bacillati; Bacillota; Bacilli; Caryophanales; Staphylococcaceae.